Molecule: ribosomal RNA, 420 nt
Filed under: uncultured prokaryote
Description: bacterial SSU rRNA
Rfam family: Bacterial small subunit ribosomal RNA
Source: RNAcentral
UAAGGAAUAUUGCUCAAUGGGAGAAAUCCUGAAGCAGCAACGCCGCGUGGAGGAUGAAGGGUCUAUGACUUGUAAACUCCUGUAAAGAAGGAAAAAAUUCCCAUUAGAUGGGAGAUGAUGGUACUUCUGGAGUAAGCCCCGGCUAACUACGUGCCAGCAGCCGCUGUAAUACGUAGGGGGCAAGCGUUGUCCGGAUUUACUGGGUGUAAAGGGUGCUCAGGCGGAUUUGUAAGUCAGAGGUGAAAUCUUACAGCUUAACUGUGAAACUGCCUUUGAUACUGCAAGCCUAGAGUAUGGAAGAGAGUGAUGGAAGAUCUGGUGUAUCAGUGAAAUGCGUAGAUAUCAGAUAGAACACCAGUGGCGAAGGCAGUCACUUGGUCCAUUACUGACGCUAAAGCACGAAAGCGUGGGUAGCAAACA